UAGAAAUCGUCCGGUGGGUGAUCGAAGAUAUACUCAUGUGGGUAUGUCAGGUCGUGAAUAUGACCGUGAUCAUGACUGUGAUCAGCAUUAUCAUUAUCAUUAGAUUUUGAAUUUUUAAGGAAAACCGCCAACACAAAAAAAUAAGACACCAUCUUUUAAAAUUUUUACUUAAUACGAGUGAAAGUGAGGUGUCUGAUUUUUCAGUCUCUUAUGAUUAAUUAAAAUAAUUAAAUUUUUUAUUUACAAAUUAAUUUCACUUGAGUCUGAAUUUUUUUAACGAAUAUAAAAUUUUACGAGCACU
Molecule: long non-coding RNA, 301 nt
Organism: Microplitis mediator
Lineage: Eukaryota; Metazoa; Arthropoda; Insecta; Hymenoptera; Braconidae
Exons: 3
Source: RefSeq, a predicted model, not a curated record